UAGCUCAAUUGGUAGAGUGUCUGCCUUGCAUGCACAAGGCCCUGGGUUCUAAUCCCCAG
This 59-nucleotide transfer RNA is filed under the name Ictidomys tridecemlineatus (thirteen-lined ground squirrel). Its description in RNAcentral is "Spermophilus tridecemlineatus (thirteen-lined ground squirrel) tRNA". It matches the Rfam family "tRNA", at positions 8 to 63 of the family's 71-position model. Rfam says of the family: Transfer RNA (tRNA) molecules are approximately 80 nucleotides in length. Their secondary structure includes four short double-helical elements and three loops (D, anti-codon, and T loops). The record is from Rfam by way of RNAcentral. Lineage: Eukaryota; Metazoa; Chordata; Mammalia; Rodentia; Sciuridae.